This 24-nucleotide microRNA is filed under the name Triops cancriformis. RNAcentral's name for it is "tcf-miR-10300". The record is from miRBase by way of RNAcentral. Lineage: Eukaryota; Metazoa; Arthropoda; Branchiopoda; Notostraca; Triopsidae.
UGUGAUGUGUUAUUUCAAACUAGU